RNAcentral lists this transfer RNA (61 nucleotides) under Ornithodoros hermsi. RNAcentral's name for it is "tRNA-Val". The record is from RNAcentral. Lineage: Eukaryota; Metazoa; Arthropoda; Arachnida; Ixodida; Argasidae.
UAGGAUGAAAUCAAGUUUGAUAUUUCAUUUACAAUGUAAUGUAGCUUCAUAGCCGUUCUAA